This 328-nucleotide long non-coding RNA is filed under the name Malus domestica (apple). Its description in RNAcentral is "long non-coding RNA (MDOM_LNC012786)". Lineage: Eukaryota; Viridiplantae; Streptophyta; Magnoliopsida; Rosales; Rosaceae. The record is from RNAcentral.
AAAUUCGUCCAUACUCACCCUAGGUAGCAAAACACCCCAAAAACACCAUUCUAGUGCCUAGAAGACAUAACAGCCACUCCACCUUCUUCCACCCUCUUUGCCUAGUUCUCCACCACCCUCCAACCCUCAAACACUCCUCCACACUUACCCUAAACCUUUCCAUACCAUUCCCCAACCAUUCUACAUCAUAAAACUACCCAAAAAUCCGUCCACAAAGCAAUCUGCCGCAAGCAAGCAAAGGAUAAUUCUUGGAUGCACUUGCUACCCAAGUUGGAGCAUUUUAGGUGUUUUCUUUCCUUUGAUUUUAAUGUGUAAUUUUAUGUAUCUU